AGCAGCCGCGGUAAAUUCCAGCUCCAAUAGCGUAUAUUAAAGUUGUUGCAGUUAAAAAGCUCGUAGUUGAAAUUCGAAAUUUGUCCUAUGGUCGGGCUUUACGGUCCGUACAGUAGUGGCGAAUUUCUACCUUCUGAAGAACCUUCAUGUCAUUAAUUUGGUGUGUUGGGAAAUCAGGACUGUUACUUUGAAAAAAUUAGAGUGUUUAAAGCAGGCUUAAGUCUGAAUACAUUAGCAUGGAAUAAUGAAAUAGGACGGAUUGGUUCUAUUUUGUUGGUUUCUAGGAUCACCGUAAUGAUUAAUAGGGAUAGUUGGGGGCAUUAGUAUUCAAUUGUCAGAGGUGAAAUUCUUGGAUUUAUUGAAGACUAACUUCUGCGAAAGCAUUUGCCAAGGAUGUUUU
RNAcentral lists this ribosomal RNA (400 nucleotides) under uncultured Glomeromycotina. RNAcentral's name for it is "SSU rRNA". It matches the Rfam family "Eukaryotic small subunit ribosomal RNA", at positions 569 to 970 of the family's 1831-position model. The record is from RNAcentral. Lineage: Eukaryota; Fungi; Glomeromycota.